This 160-nucleotide small nuclear RNA is filed under the name Nicotiana sylvestris (wood tobacco). RNAcentral's name for it is "U1 spliceosomal RNA". It matches the Rfam family "U1 spliceosomal RNA". Rfam says of the family: U1 is a small nuclear RNA (snRNA) component of the spliceosome (involved in pre-mRNA splicing). Its 5' end forms complementary base pairs with the 5' splice junction, thus defining the 5' donor site of an intron. Lineage: Eukaryota; Viridiplantae; Streptophyta; Magnoliopsida; Solanales; Solanaceae. RNAcentral also lists the same sequence under 1 other name. The record is from Rfam by way of RNAcentral.
UCACUUACCUGGACGCAGUGAAAGGGUGAUCAACAAGGCCCAUGGCCUAGGCUAGUGACCUCCAUUGCACUUUGGAGGGUGCCCAUCUAAGGUUUUCCCAAGUUGUCGAGCCUACAUUAUAAUUUAUGCCAAUGGGGGCUUGCGUUCGCGCGGCCCCUAC